CGCACCUUGCGCCCUCUGGUAUUCCGGAGGGCAUGCCUGUUUGAGUGUCUUGAAGUCAUCAACCCCCUCCGUUUCGUGCGGUCUGGGUUGGAGCUGGGGGCUCUGCCGCUGAAAGGCGGCUCCCCUCAAAUGCAUCGGUUGGGCCUGUGGGUCGAACUCGACUGGGCGUUGUACCAUCCUCGCUCGACAGAGACGUUCCCCUCUUGCGCCCUUCCCCGACUGCCUCUCAAGGGUGGCGGUCAAGCUUUUUUGAAAUCUGACCUCAAAUCAGGUAGGACUACCCGCUGAACUUAA
Molecule: unclassified non-coding RNA, 294 nt
Filed under: Trechispora sp.
Lineage: Eukaryota; Fungi; Basidiomycota; Agaricomycetes; Trechisporales; Hydnodontaceae
Description: partial contains 5.8S ribosomal RNA, internal transcribed spacer 2, and large subunit ribosomal RNA
Source: RNAcentral